ACCAGAUGUGGUGGCACAUGCCUGUAGUCCCAGCUACUAGGGAGGCUGAGGCGGGAGGAUUGCUGGACCCAGGAGUUCUGGGCUGUAGUGUGCUAUGCUGAUUGUGUGUCUUCACUAAGUUUGGCAUCGAUGUGGUGACCUCCUGGGAAUAGGGGACCACUAGGUCACCAAAGAAGGACUGAACUGGCUCAGGUCAGAAACAGGGCAGGUCAAAACUCCCAUGCUGACCAGUCGUGGGAUGGUGCCUGGGAAUAACUGUUGCACUCCCGUCGGGGCAGCAUAGUGAGACCCUGCCUCU
RNAcentral lists this signal recognition particle RNA (298 nucleotides) under Carlito syrichta (Philippine tarsier). Its description in RNAcentral is "Metazoan signal recognition particle RNA (ENSTSYG00000035633.1)". It matches the Rfam family "Metazoan signal recognition particle RNA". Rfam says of the family: The signal recognition particle (SRP) is a universally conserved ribonucleoprotein. It is involved in the co-translational targeting of proteins to membranes. The eukaryotic SRP consists of a 300-nucleotide 7S RNA and six proteins: SRPs 72, 68, 54, 19, 14, and 9. Lineage: Eukaryota; Metazoa; Chordata; Mammalia; Primates; Tarsiidae. The record is from RNAcentral.